CCUGGCGGCAAUAGCGAGUGGGAACCACCCGAUCCCAUCCCGAACUCGGAAGUGAAACUGCUCAGCGCCGAUGAUAGUGUGGGGUUUCCCCAUGUGAAAGUAGGUCACUGCCAGGG
RNAcentral lists this ribosomal RNA (116 nucleotides) under Chromatiales bacterium. The record is from RNAcentral. Lineage: Bacteria; Pseudomonadati; Pseudomonadota; Gammaproteobacteria; Chromatiales.